UACGAAGGGGGCUAGCGUUGCUCGGAAUUAUUGGGCGUAAAGGGCGCGUAGGCGGGCCUUUAAGUCAGGGGUGAAAUCCUGGAGCUCAACUCCAGAACUGCCUUUGAUACUGAGGAUCUUGAGUUCGGGAGAGGUGAGUGGAACUGCGAGUGUAGAGGUGAAAUUCGUAGAUAUUCGCAAGAACACCAGUGGCGAAGGCGGCUCACUGGCCCGAUACUGACGCUGAGGCACGAAAGCGUGGGGAGCAAACAGG
This 253-nucleotide ribosomal RNA is filed under the name uncultured bacterium. RNAcentral's name for it is "partial 16S ribosomal RNA". It matches the Rfam family "Bacterial small subunit ribosomal RNA", at positions 524 to 776 of the family's 1533-position model. The record is from RNAcentral.